Diorhabda carinulata is the source of this 690-nucleotide long non-coding RNA. RefSeq lists it as uncharacterized. Lineage: Eukaryota; Metazoa; Arthropoda; Insecta; Coleoptera; Chrysomelidae. The transcript is spliced from 2 exons. The record is from RefSeq and is a predicted model, not a curated record.
AAUUAUCAUAUGUAAAAGAAGAGUAGUUAUUUCUAUGAGUGUAUAAUUAACGUGCAGCGGCGGAUCUACAAUUUUAUUAGGGGGCUGAAGGCAAAGUAAAUGUAACUGCAUUAUACAAAGUAUUAAAGCAUUAACGGAUAUCAUAUAAUUGAAGACGUAGUAGUGGAAUUUUGCUAAUGAAUAUAAUUUACGAAUUUCAAACUUAUUACAUUUAUAGCCCGAAAGCCCCCCUCGUAGAUCCGUCACUGUUAACGUGUAUAUAUUUAAUAUUCUGAUUCAUUAAAAGGAUAAUUAAAAGCAGAACAUAAAACAUAAAAAACUGAUUACAUCCUCAAGGUCCAAUGUUUGUAUUAUUUAAAGCUGACAUACUGUCUACAGCUACAACACAAUAGGCAUAAUUACUAGCGAAGCAGCGCACAGUGUCACAACCAAUGGACAAAAAUUAAAAAAAAGACAGAGCAAUGGACAAACAUUAAAAAAAAAUCGGCUUUUUCAGAAGUCAAUCUAGCAUUAUGGCAAAGUUGAAUGUUAAGAGAAGAUGGAAAUUGCGACCCACAACUUUCCACACGACAAAUGCACAUUCGCCUCAGCGAAAUUCUUAUACCAGGCAUAAUAUGACAUUUAUCUUAAUGAAAAAAUUUGAGAAAAUUGUUGGAAUCUAUAACAAUAAACUCUGAUAAUUUGUUUCAA